UCACUUCAGCAGUGCAUAUACUAAAAUUGAAAUGAGACAGAGAAGAUGAGCCUGGCCUCUGUGCAAGGAUGACACACAAAGUCAUGAAAUGCUCUGUAUUUUU
This is a small nuclear RNA of Saimiri boliviensis boliviensis (Bolivian squirrel monkey), 103 nucleotides long. The record is from RefSeq and is a predicted model, not a curated record. Lineage: Eukaryota; Metazoa; Chordata; Mammalia; Primates; Cebidae.